AUCGAUGAAGAACGCAGCGAAAUGCGAUAAGUAAUGUGAAUUGCAGAAUUCAGUGAAUCAUCGAAUCUUUGAACGCAACUUGCGCUCCUUGGUACUCUGAGGAGCAUGCCUGUUUGAGUGUCAUUAAACUUCUUCUCAACCCAUCCAGUUUCUCUGUGUGUGGGCUUUGGACAAUGGGGGCUUGCUGGUUGCUAUUUUUCCAGCUCUCCUGAAAAGCAUUAGCGGCAUCUGGGCUGCUUGCAGGUGUGAUAACUCGUCUACACCUUUGCAGUGGCUGCAUUUGUGCUGCUUUAGAGGGCAUUGAUGAAAUUUGACCUCAAAUCAGGUAGGACUACCCGCUGAACUUAAGCAUAUCAAUAAGCGGAGGAAAAGAAACUAACAAGGAUUCCCCUAGUAACUGCGAGUGAAGCGGGAAAAGCUCAAAUUUGAAAUCUGGCGGUCUUUGAUCGCCCGAGUUGUAAUCUAGAGAAGUUGUUACCUGUGCAGGACCAUGUACAAGUCUCCUGGAAUGGGGCAUCAUAGAGGGUGAGAAUCCCGUCUUUGACAUGGACUACCUGCAUGUUGUGGUGCGCUCUCAAAGAGUCGAGUUGUUUGGGAAUGCAGCUCAAAAUGGGUGGUAAAUGCCAUCUAAAGCUAAAUAUUGGCGAGAGACCGAUAGCGAACAAGUACCGUGAGGGAAAGAUGAAAAGAACUUUGGAAAGAGAGUUAAACAGUACGUGAAAUUGCUGAAAGGGAAACGCUUGAAGUCAGUCACAUUGGCCAGAAAUCAGCCUUGCUUCUGUGAGGUGUACUUUCUGUUUGAUGGGUCAGCAUCAAUUUUGAUCACUGGAUAAAGUCUCUGGGAACGUGGCAUCUUCGGAUGUGUUAUAGCCCAUUUUCACAUGCAGUGGUUGGGAUUGAGGAACUCAGCACGCCGAAAGGCCGGGUUUYGACCAUGUUCGUGCUUAGGAUGCUGGCAUAAUGGCUUUAAUCGACCCGUCUUGAAACACGG
RNAcentral lists this ribosomal RNA (991 nucleotides) under uncultured Basidiomycota. RNAcentral's name for it is "eukaryotic LSU rRNA". The stretch from base 312 to 991 matches the Rfam family "Eukaryotic large subunit ribosomal RNA", at positions 1 to 664 of the family's 3401-position model. The record is from RNAcentral. Lineage: Eukaryota; Fungi; Basidiomycota.